CCUACGGGAGGCAGCAGUAAGGAAUAUUGGUCAAUGGACGCAAGUCUGAACCAGCCAUGCCGCGUGAAGGAUUAAGGUCCUCUGGAUUGUAAACUUCUUUUAUAUGGGACGAAAACAGAUCUUUCUAGGUCCUUUGACGGUACCAUAUGAAUAAGCACCGGCUAACUCCGUGCCAGCAGCCGCGGUAAUACGGAGGGUGCAAGCGUUAUCCGGAUUCACUGGGUUUAAAGGGUGCGUAGGCGGGUAGGUAAGUCAGUGGUGAAAUCCUGGAGCUCAACUCCAGAACUGCCAUUGAUACUAUCUAUCUUGAAUAUUGUGGAGGUAAGCGGAAUAUGUCAUGUAGCGGUGAAAUGCUUAGAUAUGACAUAGAACACCCAUUGCGAAGGCAGCUUACUACGCAUAUAUUGACGCUGAGGCACGAAAGCGUGGGGAUCAAACAGGAUUAGAUACCCUGGUAGUCCACGCCCUAAACGAUGGAUACUCGACAUACGCGAUACACAGUGUGUGUCUGAGCGAAAGCAUUAAGUAUCCCACCUGGGAAGUACGUUCGCAAGAAUGAAACUUAAAUGAAAUUGAGG
Molecule: ribosomal RNA, 578 nt
Filed under: uncultured bacterium
Lineage: Bacteria
Description: bacterial SSU rRNA
Rfam family: Bacterial small subunit ribosomal RNA
Source: RNAcentral